Long non-coding RNA from Sarcophilus harrisii (Tasmanian devil), 268 nucleotides. RefSeq lists it as uncharacterized. The transcript is spliced from 3 exons. NCBI's taxonomy places the organism in Eukaryota, Metazoa, Chordata, Mammalia, Dasyuromorphia, Dasyuridae. The record is from RefSeq and is a predicted model, not a curated record.
CUCCUUGGGCUUUCCGGAGCGGAAAGGACCCCGUCCCUCCUGAGCGAGGAGAAAGACCUUAGCCCAGUUGGUUGUGCAGCGCAGAGCCGGCCCUUCUGAAAAGAGCAGAAUGUCUUCAGACUUGGCAAGGAGGCCCCCGCCGUUAUUUGCCACCUUUCCUUUAUUUGUCUGCGCCCAAUUGGUUGUGCCAGGGGUGCCGCCCACCUCCAUUCCUCCGUGGAUUCUCCUUGGUCUUUCCGGAGCUGAAAGGACCCGUCCCUCCUGAGUG